This 492-nucleotide ribosomal RNA is filed under the name uncultured bacterium. Its description in RNAcentral is "partial 16S ribosomal RNA". It matches the Rfam family "Bacterial small subunit ribosomal RNA", at positions 29 to 507 of the family's 1533-position model. The record is from RNAcentral.
AGUGAACGCUGGCGGUAUGCCUAACACAUGCAAGUCGAACGGCAGCACAGUAAGCGCUUGCUCUUACGGGUGGCGAGUGGCGGACGGGUGAGGAAUACAUCGGAAUCUUCUUUUUCGUGGGGGAUAACGUAGGGACACUUACGCUACUACCUCAUACGACCUACGGCUGAAAUCAGUGGAUCUUCGCACCUUGCCUGUUUGAAUGAGCCGAUGUCGCAUUAGCUAGUUGGCGGGGUAAAGGCCCACCAAGGCGACGAUCCGUAGCUGGUCUGAGAGGAUGAUCAGCCACACUGGAACUGAGACACGGUCCAGACUCCUACGGGAGGCAGCAGUGGGGAAUAUUCGACAAUGGGCGAAAGCCUGAUGGAGCCAUGCCGCGUGAGUGAAGAAGGUCUUCGGGUCGUAAAGCCCUUUUAUUAGGAAAGAAAAAAUGUAGGUUAAUCCACGGAUGUUCUGACGGUACCUAAAGAGUAAGCCACGGCUAACUACGUG